Molecule: ribosomal RNA, 1524 nt
Filed under: Klebsiella pneumoniae
Lineage: Bacteria; Pseudomonadati; Pseudomonadota; Gammaproteobacteria; Enterobacterales; Enterobacteriaceae
Description: bacterial SSU rRNA
Rfam family: Bacterial small subunit ribosomal RNA
Source: RNAcentral
AAAUUGAAGAGUUUGAUCAUGGCUCAGAUUGAACGCUGGCGGCAGGCCUAACACAUGCAAGUCGAGCGGUAGCACAGAGAGCUUGCUCUCGGGUGACGAGCGGCGGACGGGUGAGUAAUGUCUGGGAAACUGCCUGAUGGAGGGGGAUAACUACUGGAAACGGUAGCUAAUACCGCAUAACGUCGCAAGACCAAAGUGGGGGACCUUCGGGCCUCAUGCCAUCAGAUGUGCCCAGAUGGGAUUAGCUAGUAGGUGGGGUAAUGGCUCACCUAGGCGACGAUCCCUAGCUGGUCUGAGAGGAUGACCAGCCACACUGGAACUGAGACACGGUCCAGACUCCUACGGGAGGCAGCAGUGGGGAAUAUUGCACAAUGGGCGCAAGCCUGAUGCAGCCAUGCCGCGUGUGUGAAGAAGGCCUUCGGGUUGUAAAGCACUUUCAGCGGGGAGGAAGGCGGUGAGGUUAAUAACCUCAUCGAUUGACGUUACCCGCAGAAGAAGCACCGGCUAACUCCGUGCCAGCAGCCGCGGUAAUACGGAGGGUGCAAGCGUUAAUCGGAAUUACUGGGCGUAAAGCGCACGCAGGCGGUCUGUCAAGUCGGAUGUGAAAUCCCCGGGCUCAACCUGGGAACUGCAUUCGAAACUGGCAGGCUAGAGUCUUGUAGAGGGGGGUAGAAUUCCAGGUGUAGCGGUGAAAUGCGUAGAGAUCUGGAGGAAUACCGGUGGCGAAGGCGGCCCCCUGGACAAAGACUGACGCUCAGGUGCGAAAGCGUGGGGAGCAAACAGGAUUAGAUACCCUGGUAGUCCACGCCGUAAACGAUGUCGAUUUGGAGGUUGUGCCCUUGAGGCGUGGCUUCCGGAGCUAACGCGUUAAAUCGACCGCCUGGGGAGUACGGCCGCAAGGUUAAAACUCAAAUGAAUUGACGGGGGCCCGCACAAGCGGUGGAGCAUGUGGUUUAAUUCGAUGCAACGCGAAGAACCUUACCUGGUCUUGACAUCCACAGAACUUUCCAGAGAUGGAUUGGUGCCUUCGGGAACUGUGAGACAGGUGCUGCAUGGCUGUCGUCAGCUCGUGUUGUGAAAUGUUGGGUUAAGUCCCGCAACGAGCGCAACCCUUAUCCUUUGUUGCCAGCGGUUAGGCCGGGAACUCAAAGGAGACUGCCAGUGAUAAACUGGAGGAAGGUGGGGAUGACGUCAAGUCAUCAUGGCCCUUACGACCAGGGCUACACACGUGCUACAAUGGCAUAUACAAAGAGAAGCGACCUCGCGAGAGCAAGCGGACCUCAUAAAGUAUGUCGUAGUCCGGAUUGGAGUCUGCAACUCGACUCCAUGAAGUCGGAAUCGCUAGUAAUCGUAGAUCAGAAUGCUACGGUGAAUACGUUCCCGGGCCUUGUACACACCGCCCGUCACACCAUGGGAGUGGGUUGCAAAAGAAGUAGGUAGCUUAACCUUCGGGAGGGCGCUUACCACUUUGUGAUUCAUGACUGGGGUGAAGUCGUAACAAGGUAACCGUAGGGGAACCUGCGG